Molecule: long non-coding RNA, 488 nt
Organism: Psammomys obesus (fat sand rat)
Lineage: Eukaryota; Metazoa; Chordata; Mammalia; Rodentia; Muridae
Exons: 3
Source: RefSeq, a predicted model, not a curated record
ACACCAAAGUGCAGCUGAUAACUGGGAUUGAACUCUUAUUGCUGUCAGGGGCCCAGGACAGAUGCUGGGGCAGCUUACACACCAGGAAUGGAGGACACAGAAAGCACCGAGGAUUGUUGCAGAGUGUCGGUGCCUCGGCAGAUGCCAAGCUCUGAACAGUGUGUGCCGGGUCCACAGCAAAUCCUCAGUAAACGUGGCUAUGAGCAUAUCCAGGAAGUGCCACAGGCAAGUCAGAGCAGGGAGAGAGUUCUCAUGGCUCCAGAGAUCUCUUCAGAGGACACUGAGAAGAAUCCAGAAGGAUUUGGAGUAAGGGGAAAAGACAUCUUUCUGGGAGUGAUCAAACUGUGAAACUGGUUUCCGGCAGAUAGAACUUUGUUUUGACACUUUCGCUUCCCGCCACCUUCCCGCAAGGCGUGGCUCACCCAGUGAGCCUUCAUCGUGUUUGGAGUUAUCUGACAAGCACAGACACUGUGACAACGCUCCUUGAC